GUGACGAAACAGGGGUGCUUUGCCCACAGGCGGCAUGAUUUCCAUGCUGCGGCGGCGAGGCUGAGAGAGACCCUUUGCACCCGAUCCGGGUAAUACCGGCGCGGGAAGUUUCCGGAAGCGAACG
This is a non-coding RNA of Paraburkholderia susongensis, 124 nucleotides long. The record is from Rfam. Lineage: Bacteria; Pseudomonadati; Pseudomonadota; Betaproteobacteria; Burkholderiales; Burkholderiaceae.